This 252-nucleotide ribosomal RNA is filed under the name uncultured bacterium. RNAcentral's name for it is "partial 16S ribosomal RNA". It matches the Rfam family "Bacterial small subunit ribosomal RNA", at positions 524 to 776 of the family's 1533-position model. The record is from RNAcentral.
UACGUAGGUGGCAAGCGUUAUCCGGAAUUAUUGGGCGUAAAGCGUGCGCAGGCGGUUCGUUGUGUCUGAUGUGAAAGCCCCGGGCUCAACCUGGGAAUGGCAUUGGAAACUGGCGAGCUAGAGUGUGGCAGAGGGGGGUGGAAUUCCGCGUGUAGCAGUGAAAUUCGUAGAUAUUCGCAAGAACACCAGUGGCGAAGGCGCUCACUGGCCCGAUACUGACGCUGAGGCACGAAGGCCAGGGGAGCAAACGGG